AUUAUUUUAAGCUAUAUUUUGUUAAUAUAUAUUUUGUAUGAAACCAAAAAAUUUUGGCGGUAUUUUAAGCUUUUUAGAGGAAUUUGCUCUUUAAUGGAUAAAACGCCAAAAUCUUACUUAAUUUUGUUAAAACAGUUUGUAUACCACUAUGAUUAAUAAUAUUGAAUAAUAAAUUAUUUAAAUUUUUUAAAAUUAAAAAUAAAAUGUUAAGUCAAGGUGCAGCAUAAAAUUAUGAAUGAAGUGAAUUACAAUGAUUUUUAUAUUAACAUUAUAAUUGAAAAAAAAAUAAAUUAGGAUUUAAAAGUAAAUUAAUAAUAUAAUGAUUAAUUGAAAAAAGCUCUGAAAUAUGCAC
This 352-nucleotide ribosomal RNA is filed under the name Ixodes australiensis. RNAcentral describes it as "partial small subunit ribosomal RNA". Lineage: Eukaryota; Metazoa; Arthropoda; Arachnida; Ixodida; Ixodidae. The record is from RNAcentral.